CCUACGGGAGGCUGCAGUGGGGAAUUUUGGACAAUGGGGGCAACCCUGAUCCAGCCAUGCCGCGUGAGUGAAGAAGGCCUUCGGGUUGUAAAGCUCUUUCAGACGGAAAGAAACGGUCACGGCGAAUACCCGUGACUAAUGACGGUACCGUAAGAAGAAGCACCGGCUAACUACGUGCCAGCAGCCGCGGUAAUACGUAGGGUGCGAGCGUUAAUCGGAGUUACUGGGCGUGAAGUGUUAAGACGCGGGUGAAAUCCCCGGGCUUAACCUGGGAACUGCAGUUGUGACUGCGAGACUAGAGUGUAGCAGAGGGGGGUAGAAUUCCACGUGUAGCAGUGAAAUGCGUAGAGAUGUGGAGGAAUACCGAUGGCGAAGGCAGCCCCCUGGGCUAACACUGACGCUCAUGCACGAAAGCGUGGGGAGCAAACAGGAUUAGAUACCCCGGUAGUC
This 450-nucleotide ribosomal RNA is filed under the name uncultured bacterium. RNAcentral's name for it is "partial 16S ribosomal RNA". It matches the Rfam family "Bacterial small subunit ribosomal RNA", at positions 338 to 795 of the family's 1533-position model. The record is from RNAcentral.